RNAcentral lists this ribosomal RNA (565 nucleotides) under Mystacina tuberculata (New Zealand lesser short-tailed bat). Its description in RNAcentral is "partial 16S ribosomal RNA". It matches the Rfam family "Bacterial large subunit ribosomal RNA", at positions 1816 to 2609 of the family's 2925-position model. Lineage: Eukaryota; Metazoa; Chordata; Mammalia; Chiroptera; Mystacinidae. The record is from RNAcentral.
UCACCUCUAGCGUUACUAGUAUUAGAGGCACUGCCUGCCCAGUGACAUCCGUUUAACGGCCGCGGUAUCCUGACCGUGCAAAGGUAGCAUAAUCACUUGUUCUCUAAAUAAGGACUUGUAUGAAUGGCCACACGAGGGUUUUACUGUCUCUUACUCUCAAUCAGUGAAAUUGACCUUCCCGUGAAGAGGCGGGAAUAAACAAAUAAGACGAGAAGACCCUAUGGAGCUUUAAUUAAUUAAUCUAAGAAAAACUACUACUACUAAUCAAAAGACUUAAGACAAUUUUCUAAUAGAUUAACAAUUUAGGUUGGGGUGACCUCGGAGUAUAAAACAACCUCCGAGUGAUUUAAAAGCUAGACCUACUAGUCAAACUAACAACUCAUGAAUUGAUCCAAUUCUUUUUGAUCAACGGAACAAGUUACCCUAGGGAUAACAGCGCAAUCCUAUUUAAGAGUCCCUAUCGACAAUAGGGUUUACGACCUCGAUGUUGGAUCAGGACAUCCUAAUGGUGCAGCAGCUAUUGAUGGUUCGUUUGUUCAACGAUUAAAGUCCUACGUGAUCUGAG